Molecule: ribosomal RNA, 254 nt
Filed under: uncultured bacterium
Lineage: Bacteria
Description: partial 16S ribosomal RNA
Rfam family: Bacterial small subunit ribosomal RNA
Source: RNAcentral
UACGUAGGGGUGCGAGCGUUGUCCGGAAUUACUGGGCGUAAAGAGCUCGUAGGUGGUUUGUCGCGUUGUUCGUGAAAUCUCACGGCUUAACUGUGAGCGUGCGGGCGAUACGGGCAGACUUGAGUACUGCAGGGGAGACUGGAAUUCCUGGUGUAGCGGUGGAAUGCGCAGAUAUCAGGAGGAACACCGGUGGCGAAGGCGGGUCUCUGGGCAGUAACUGACGCUGAGGAGCGAAAGCGUGGGGAGCGAACAGG